UGGGGAAUAUUGGACAAUGGGCGCAAGCCUGAUCCAGCCAUGCCGCGUGAGUGAUGAAGGCCUUAGGGUUGUAAAGCUCUUUCGCCCGCGAAGAUAAUGACGGUAGCGGGAGAAGAAGCCCCGGCUAACUUCGUGCCAGCAGCCGCGGUAAUACGAAGGGGGCUAGCGUUGUUCGGAAUCACUGGGCGUAAAGCGUACGUAGGCGGAUGCUUAAGUCAGAGGUGAAAGCCUGGAGCUCAACUCCAGAACUGCCUUUGAUACUGGGCGUCUUGAGUCCGGGAGAGGUGAGUGGAACUGCUAGUGUAGAGGUGAAAUUCGUAGAUAUUAGCAAGAACACCAGUGGCGAAGGCGGCUCACUGGCCCGGUACUGACGCUGAGGUACGAAAGCGUGGGGAGCAAACA
This 402-nucleotide ribosomal RNA is filed under the name uncultured prokaryote. RNAcentral describes it as "bacterial SSU rRNA". It matches the Rfam family "Bacterial small subunit ribosomal RNA", at positions 355 to 774 of the family's 1533-position model. The record is from RNAcentral.